CGCUGGCGGCGUGCCUAACACAUGCAAGUCGAGCGGGAAUCUACAAAAAUGAAGCUUCGGCAGAUUUUUGUAGAGGAUAGCGGCGGACGGGUGAGUAACGCGUGAGUAACCUGCCCUUAAGAGGGGGAUAACACACCGAAAAGGUGUGCUAAUACCGCAUAACAUAUGUUUACCGCAUGGUAGACAUAUCAAAGAUUUAUCGCUUAAGGAUGGACUCGCGUCUGAUUAGAUAGUUGGUGAGGUAACGGCUCACCAAGUCGACGAUCAGUAGCCGAACUGAGAGGUUGAUCGGCCACAUUGGGACUGAGACACGGCCCAGACUCCUACGGGAGGCAGCAGUGGGGAAUAUUGCGCAAUGGGGGAAACCCUGACGCAGCAACGCCGCGUGAAGGAUGAAGGUCUUCGGAUUGUAAACUUCUGUCUUAUGGGAAGAAAAAGGACGGUACCAUAGGAGGAAGCCACGGCUAACUACGUG
RNAcentral lists this ribosomal RNA (475 nucleotides) under uncultured bacterium. RNAcentral describes it as "bacterial SSU rRNA". It matches the Rfam family "Bacterial small subunit ribosomal RNA", at positions 34 to 507 of the family's 1533-position model. The record is from RNAcentral.